AGCAACUGCUGCCUCAAAUUUCCAGAGAUCGACAGCUCAGGUUUUAAAGUUGCUCGGGGACUUUUCAGGACAUCAUGUCUCUAAGGAAGAAAGUAAGACCGAGUUCUGCCUCAGGGAAGUUAGAAACAUUCAACCUUAGCAGCAUACUGACAGAGCUCCAAGGGCCAUCCGCGGCUCGAGGCCCUAUGUGUCGGCACACCCAGACUCCGCAAGAAGGCAUCGGGCUGCAGGCUGCAGCUCCUGUUUCUGUCAGUGACUUUACAGAAGAAGCCCGGGAAGAUGGCUCUCCCCUCCCAGAGUGGCUGGUGAAGGAGAUGCUGAAAAAGCAGCAGAGAAGUUACUCGAUUGGGCUCAUGGAAAACAUAUCAGAGAGCACACGUGCUCAGCGUCACUUCAACCCUGCAAAGAGCCUCUGGAAAGGAAAGAUUGAACAACAAAUGACUCUCGAACAACUUCAGAGACUGAAUUCUGCAUUUCAGGAGUUGGAAAAGGAUGGCUACAAAUCAUUGGAUGUAGAGAAGUUUAAGCAGAUAAUGAAGAAGUGCAUGAGUCCACAUAGCACGAUUGAUGAGCAAGUUGAAAAGCUUUUCAUGAAAAU
Molecule: long non-coding RNA, 598 nt
Filed under: Struthio camelus australis
Lineage: Eukaryota; Metazoa; Chordata; Aves; Struthioniformes; Struthionidae
Description: lncRNA (ENSSCUG00000014806.1)
Source: RNAcentral